RNAcentral lists this unclassified non-coding RNA (208 nucleotides) under Hevea brasiliensis (rubber tree). The record is from RNAcentral. Lineage: Eukaryota; Viridiplantae; Streptophyta; Magnoliopsida; Malpighiales; Euphorbiaceae.
CUACUCUAAUGUCAAACUUGACUAAAGGUAGUUGAUGAAUCUUUUUGCUGCUAGAUGUGGUGCAAGAUGGCACUGGGGCUUUUGUUAAUGGGUUAUUUGUAGAUUUGUGUUAGUCGAUUUUUUAUUAGUACCCAACGUUGUUGUGAAACCCGUUCCCUGAUUAUUGUGUGGUAUUGAGUAGGUUGCUCUGGCAAAUCAGGUGUCCUCU